GUUCUGGUGCCAGCAGCCGCGGUAAUUCCAGCUCCAGUAGCGUAUAUUAAAGUUGCUGCAGUUAAAAAGCUCGUAGUUGAAUUUCUGUUUGUAAGAGUCGAAGCUUUACAGCUAAGAUUUCUUCGAACAUCUGUUUGCAAGCAUACGUUCGGCCUUCACUGGUUGGCUAUGUAAGCAAGCGCUUUACCUUGAGAAAAUUAGAGUGUUCCAGGCAGGCUUCAGCCGGAAUACAUUAGCAUGGAAUAAUGGAAUAGGACUGGGGACUAUUUAUUGGUUUGAGGCUCCAGUAAUGAUUAAUAGGAACAGUCGGGGGCAUUGGUACUUAACAGUCAGAGGUGAAAUUCUUGGAUUUGUUAAAGACUAACUAAUGCGAAAGCAUUUGCCAAGCAUGUUUUCAUUAAUCAAGAACGAAAGUUAGGGGAUCAAAGACGAUUAGAUACCGUCCUAGUCUUAACUGUAAACGAUUCCAUCUUAGAAUUGGGUGAAUAUUUGAUGAUUCAUCCAGCGCUAUAAGAGAAAUCAAAGUCUUUGGGUUCUUGGUGGAGUACGAUCGCAAGAUUGAAACUUAAGGGAAUUGACGGUUUUGCACACCAUGGAGUGGAGCCUGUGGCUUAAUUUGACCCAACACUGGGAAACUCAUCAGGACAACAAAGUUUUAGGAUUGACAGAUUGAUAGCUCUUUCUUGAUUGACUUAAUGGUGGUGCAUGGCCGUUCUUAGUUGGUGGAGUGAUUUGUCUGGUUAAUUCCGUUAACGAACGAGACCUUAACCUACUAACUAGUACGACGUGACGAACGUUAGUUACUUCUUAGAGGGACAAUGUGUAUUUUUAACACACGGAAGUUUAAGGCAAUAACAGGUCUGUGAUGCCCUUAGAUGUCCUGAGCCGCACACGCGCUACAAUGACACUUUCAAUAAGUUUUUGCUGGUCCGACAGGAUUUCGGCUAAUCUUUUUAGUAAGUGUCGUGCUAGGGAUAGAUCUUUGCAAUUGUGGAUCUUGAACGAGGAAUUCCUAGUAAGCACAAGUCAUCAGCUUGUGCUGAUUACGUCCCUGCAAAAUGUACACAUCGCCCGUCGCUUGCUCCGAUUGAGUAAUCUGGUGAGCCUUCUUGACUGAGUAAGUAAUUACGAAGAAAAUUAAGCAAACCAUAUUACUUAGAGGAUGAAGAAGUCGUAACAAAGUUUCCGUAGGUGAACCUGCGGAAG
This 1206-nucleotide ribosomal RNA is filed under the name metagenome. RNAcentral describes it as "SSU rRNA". It matches the Rfam family "Eukaryotic small subunit ribosomal RNA", at positions 558 to 1823 of the family's 1831-position model. The record is from RNAcentral.